This 468-nucleotide ribosomal RNA is filed under the name uncultured bacterium. Its description in RNAcentral is "partial 16S ribosomal RNA". It matches the Rfam family "Bacterial small subunit ribosomal RNA", at positions 28 to 507 of the family's 1533-position model. The record is from RNAcentral.
GACGAACGCUGGCGGCGUGCUUAACACAUGCAAGUCGAACGGAAAGGCCCUGCUUUUGUGGGGCGCUCGAGUGGCGAACGGGUGAGUAACACGUGAGUAACCUGCCCUUGACUUUGGGAUAACUUCAGGAAACUGGGGCUAAUACCGGAUAGGAGCUCCUGCUGCAUGGUGGGGGUUGGAAAGUUUCGGCGGUUGGGGAUGGACUCGCGGCUUAUCAGCUUGUUGGUGGGGUAGUGGCUUACCAAGGCUUUGACGGGUAGCCGGCCUGAGGGGGUGACCGGCCACAUUGGGACUGAGAUACGGACCAGACUCCUACGGGAGGCAGCAGUGGGGAAUAUUGCACAAUGGGCGGAAGCCUGAUGCAGCAACGCCGCGUGCGGGAUGACGGCCUUCGGGUUGUAAACCGCUUUCGCCUGUGACGAAGCGUGAGUGACGGUAAUGGGUAAAGAAGCACCGGCUAACUACGUG